CUGAAUCACCUGGUGCGCAAUGCUUGUCUGUAGCUAAUGAUCAAAUUCAGCAGCCUGAAUCGCAUAGAGUGCGAUGCUUGUCUGUAGCUAAUGAUCAAAUUCAGCAGCCUGAAUCACCUGGUAUGCAAUGCUUGUCUGUAGGUAAUGAUCAAAUUCAGCCGCCUGAAUCACCUAGUGUGCAAUGCUUGUCUGUAGCUAAUGAUCCAAUUCAGCAGCCGGAAUCACCUAGUUUGCAAUGCUUGUCUGUAGCUGAUGAUCAAAUUCAGCAGCCUGAAUCACCUGGUGCGCAAUGCUUGUCUGUAGCUAAUGAUCAAAUUCGGCAGCCUGAAUCACAUAGAGUGCGAUGCUUGUCUGUAGCUAAUGAUCAAAUUCAGCAGCCUGAAUCACCUGGUAUGCAAUGCUUGUCUGUAGGUAAUGAUCAAAUUCAGCCUCCUGAAUCAUCUAGUGUGCAAUGCUUGUCUGUGGCUAAUAAUCAAACCUUGGAUACUGCUAGUGUGAGUAGAAUCAACUCUCAUAU
RNAcentral lists this long non-coding RNA (517 nucleotides) under Capsicum annuum. Its description in RNAcentral is "long non-coding RNA (CANN_LNC000034)". The record is from RNAcentral. Lineage: Eukaryota; Viridiplantae; Streptophyta; Magnoliopsida; Solanales; Solanaceae.